AGGUAAGGGUUGUCCAGUUCUAUCUAGGUUACAUCCUAUAGUUAACAUUCCUCUGAUACCACUUCUUUCACACCCGAGUUUUAGGGGUCCAAAACCCGGGUGCGAAAUAUCACCAAGUGUGGUAGGAUCAAGUCUCACACAUAUGAUGACUCAUGGUACAGAAAUGAAUGUCACAUCAUUAAUAUAUAACAGAGUUCUGUACAAAAUAGUUAAAUAAUUACAUCAUACGAAGACAACAAUCUAGCAACCAAAGUUGGCUGGGAGACGACGGCCUAGACCACUCACGAACUCAUAGCAGCAUCCUUCAUGCGUCUCAUCCUGUGGUACCUGUUCUUGACCUAGGGGAUGUGAGUACAGCAAGGGUGAGCUCACAUACGUUCAUCGUCCAACAAGUUGUGGGGAAUAAUGUGCAUGAACUUCACCAAAGGUGGGAGCUCAUGUGAAGUGUAAGGCUUAUCAAAGGAGAUGGUUAAAGCUGAGCAUUGCUUUUAGAGUUGGUCAAAAUUUUAUUAGCAGUUACUAAGUAUAAGUAGAUACCAACCCAAAUAAGUAAGAGAUCAAAAUUAAUAAUAACACCCACGACGCAAUGCAUAUGACAGAUUACGUUUAGUUCCAUAAAUUACUCAUGUGAGGGUCCGAGCUGCUCAUGACCGUGAGCACGGCUGAUAUACCAGUUUUACACUCUACAAAGGUUGUGCAUCUUUACCCACAAGUCGUGUAUCCCGUUUAGCCAGGGUUUGCAAGGCCCUUAGACAUUACCGAGGUGAAUGUCUAGGGAUCCACUACGAGGCCCUUACAAAGUUCCACUAGCUUUAGAAAACCCGCUACAGCUUCUGAUAAGGGCAAUAUAGGAAUCCCUCGUCCGAAAAGCCAUCACAGCAUGAUCGACCCGAGAACCUCCCUGUACGCAGCUCCUCUACCGCCCUUGCCCCUUUCGGGUAUGGUAGUCCUCCACUAGCUUUCCUAAUUAGUCAGCCAAGGGCGUCCAUACCACCCUUGUGGUAGCAUUGUUUUCCCGGGUGGUUCUCCAUGUUCCAAUUAACAUAAUAAUCUUAUCAUGAACAAUAAUCAACAACAACAGAAUUGGAACAUGAACAUAAUAUAACAUUACUUUCCCAAAACCAGGUAGAGCAAUAGCAAAACUACCCAAUAGUUAUUUUGUCUGCAAGGUGUGGGAUAAACAAUGCUAGGGAAGCCUAUUAGGUCCCAUCAAAUUAACCUGAGCAUGUCAUAGUGAUUAACUGGAACAUUAUUAGGUAAAGAAGAGUGAUCAAGGGCACUUGCCUUAUACUUGAGAUUCACAGGUACCAACUUGGUCUUCAAGAUUCUCAUAACCUCGCUGCUAAACGUAGCAAUACAGGCAAAAUUAACAUCACACCAAACAUAGGCACGAACUGCAUAAUAAUGAUCUACGCGUCGCAACUAGAUCCUAGGUUCGAGAAUCACGAAAUUCGAAGUUAUGGUUUAAGAGUUAUGAUUUCCUAAAGAUUUAAGUGGUGGUUACAAAAGAAAUUAAGUGCAUAGUUCUAUCCUAUGCUUCAUACCAACAUAAGGUUACCAGAUGCUAAACAAUAUUAACAUGAAUUUAAUGCAACUAGAGUAGGUCAAAAAGGAGUUAAAAUGAAUUAAAUAUGAUUUAAACAAGUUUCUGGAAUUAUUUUUAUAUAAAAAAAUCAUUUUCUAUAUUAGUAUAAUCAUUUUAUUUAACCUCUGGGCUGGGGCCACUAUUUCUCAAAAACUCAGGGUUGAAUCUACGAAUAAAAGGACCUAAUUGGAAUUACAUUUUAACUGUGUGGAUGGCGGGUUGAAUAAUAGAAACCAGGGAAUUUCUUUAACAAUUUUUACUAGGCCGAAAGGGUAACUUCUGUUGUGAGCCAACCGAUCAAAUUUCAGUGGCUCAUAUUAGAUCGACGCGAUUAUGAAUUGGUAUGUAGCGCGAGCCAGAUGAUUCAGAGCCAACGACCAGGAUUUUAUGAAAUGAGGAUCUAAUCUUAUGCGUAGAUCAUGCGAUCGAUGACCAGGAUCGAACCCUGUUGAGUGGGUGCACCCGCAUUAAUCCCAGUCGAUCACAUCCAAACGAACGGCCAGGAGACCACCUCCGACCUCCCAGCGGCCAAGCUCGGCCACGCACACCCCACCCGCAGUGGCGCUACGCUGGCGACGUGCCGAACCAGCGCGCAAGCCCUCCCAAAUCCAAUUAGCGACUAGAACACACAGAUUAAGGUGUCGCGAAUGCAUUUAGGGGCUUCUUACCAGUAAUUAAGCGGCGGUUAGAGAAGGCCUCGAUGAGGGGUGGACGCACGGUGGCGGCAAUCGCUGAUGAACAAAAUCCCAAGCUCUCGCAUGGCCCCUGCGCCAAGCCCAAGUUGACUGAAGAAGGCACAAGCGGUGGCGAGCUCCCCAAGCUACCACCCGAGGACGGAACGACAGCGAGCAAAGAUGGCGGUGGGCGGUCGGAUUAUUCCCCAGUGACAUCAUUGCGGAUCCAGCGCC
Molecule: long non-coding RNA, 2493 nt
Filed under: Zea mays
Lineage: Eukaryota; Viridiplantae; Streptophyta; Magnoliopsida; Poales; Poaceae
Description: long non-coding RNA (ZMAY_LNC005562)
Source: RNAcentral